GUUAGUAUCACCUGUGCUGUGCACUUUGCUCCGGGUGCCUUGGGUCUGGCCUCUGACCGGAAGGCCAGGAGAGGCCACCCGAAUUUGCAUUUCUGGAUGCUCUUACUGGACAGGGAUGGGCCUGAGAAGUCUUUAGUGCCCCUCUGGGUAACACCAUGCUGAGCUCUCUGAAGAGGACACAAAAGAGAACAAGAAUGUGGGUAACGACCACAAAGAGACAAGGACUAGCUGGAGGAGAGACUGCCAGUGCUCACACUGUAACUGGAGUGCUCUGAGCAAAACGCAUCGCAAACUGAGCAGAGCAGCGGCCUGUAGCUGCGGCGGGGAGCCCACAGGAGAACAGCUCAGGGGGGAAGGAUGAAGCUGGCUGGCCGAGCAUCCUGCUUUGUUGACGCACCGGUGGAUUUUUGCUUCUGGUCGUCAUUUCGGCUCCUGGUCUCCAAUCCAACAAGAGGCCUCUUAUCAACAGCAGCAGUCCUACUGCCCAGCAGACCUCUUCCAGAGCCUCCCGGAUACGGUUAACCCCUGUCAAGCAAGGGGCUUUUUGAGCUCAGAGGCACAGGCGCUCGGCUGGGACGUGAGGAAUUCAUGGGCCCUGCUGGCAGAUACUGUGUGCGUGUGUGAGUGUAGAUAGAGGGUGUUGAGAACACAGAGCUGAAAUGUGGACUCAUUCAAGUUACCAUGGAGAACUGCUCAGAAUUCAUUUUAUA
RNAcentral lists this long non-coding RNA (710 nucleotides) under Equus caballus (horse). RNAcentral describes it as "lncRNA (ENSECAG00000057170.1)". The record is from RNAcentral. Lineage: Eukaryota; Metazoa; Chordata; Mammalia; Perissodactyla; Equidae.